AGAGAGUUGAGUUUCCAACGUCAAGCAACGACUACUCAUUCGCUUGCCAAUCGUCAGUGGGAUCUUUUGGAAAAAGAUGGAGUUCACCGUGAUUUAUUUACCUUUGAUAAUGACAUGAUGAAGCUUGAUAAAAAUGAGAGAGUGCUCUCGCGCGGUUUUCCAUCCUUUCACCAUGUUAAUGACAGUUCAAAGGUCAUAUCUUACGUCAGAGGUCCCCUUCUCUUCAAUUUCAAUUUUCAUCCAACAGAUUCUUAUGAUAGUUACACCGUUGGUGUAGAAGAAGCCGGGGAAUAUCAACUAAUUUUGAACACGGAUGAAAUAAAGUAUGUCGGUCAGGGGAUCAUUAAAGAGAACCAAUAUUUUCAAAGAACUAUAAGUAAAAG
This is a long non-coding RNA of Vicia villosa (hairy vetch), 383 nucleotides long. RefSeq lists it as uncharacterized. The transcript is spliced from 4 exons. Lineage: Eukaryota; Viridiplantae; Streptophyta; Magnoliopsida; Fabales; Fabaceae. The record is from RefSeq and is a predicted model, not a curated record.